GGGGGUGAUCGGUUUCGACGUCGAUAGUUCGGCCAGGGGAAGCGGGCCGAGGAUGCAGGGUUAUCUCGUUAACGCUCCCUGUAAACCAAUAGGUGCCGAUUCCAAGCGCACCGACUUCGCCCUCGCCGCCUGAGCGAGCGCAUAAAGAAGUCCGUCAGCCUAGGUUUGAUUCCGGCCUAGUUCCUGGCGUCAUCUAGGAAUCUUGCUGCAAUGUCAUGUCGGGGGGCAUUGCGGGACUUUUACUCGACUGGGCCUGUGUUCGGGAACGUGUGCGUGCGUGCCCGAAGGCUGAGAAACACCUAAGCGCACUGCGCCCGGAGAAGUCCUGGUCUUUCAUCGGCGGACGCGGGUUCGAUUCCCGCCACCUCCACCA
This 373-nucleotide transfer-messenger RNA is filed under the name Dermatophilus congolensis. It matches the Rfam family "transfer-messenger RNA". Rfam says of the family: Bacterial tmRNA, also known as 10Sa RNA or SsrA, is named for its dual tRNA and mRNA-like properties. Its role is to liberate the mRNA from a stalled ribosome. The record is from RNAcentral. RNAcentral also lists the same sequence under 2 other names. Lineage: Bacteria; Bacillati; Actinomycetota; Actinomycetes; Micrococcales; Dermatophilaceae.